CGUCGCAGGUCGCGGCCUAGCCCGGCGCUCCCGUCGCGGCAGCGCGCCUCCCGCUGUUCCGCAGCCACGCGCAGCGCGCACACGCGCUCCCGGCACUGCCGCCGGCCCCGCUGCAGCUCGCGCAGCCCCUGCUCCGCCGCCGCCACGUCCUCCAGCACGCGCGAGAAGCGCUCGAAGCUGGCGUAGCUCGUGUUUCGCGGCAUGCUUGAGUGCGACUUGAGACUGUACUCGCGCAGGCGCGCCGCGCGCAGUCGGCGUCGCUCUGGCUUCCGGGCGCCGUCCUCACGCCGGCGAACCUGUGAGGAGCAGAGCUGCGGCAGGGGGGCCACGCCGACAGCCCUCCCACCUGCCAGCUGGAUCCCGGAGUCCCGAGGCCUCACCUUGAUCCAGGAAUGCUCCAGGCUCUGUGCGAUGGUCAUCCUCCUCCUGCGGGGUGGGGCGGGUCAGCUCUCUGGUAACUGCACCCACGGGACCCCGCAUGACCCCAGCCUUCCACAAGUGUCCUUUCCCAGUGUGUGAAGAAGUCUGACAAGCUGUAGCCCUAUCACCCCUAAAGCCCCCGGUCCCCCGUCCCGGGGUAGUCUUGUUCCACCACCGUGGUGAGGUUCUAAGAGCAGUAUUUGUGUAGGGUUUUAAGAUUUGUGGUCACUUGUGCCCAGAGGUCCUGGCUUAGCUGGCCACGGAGGGUGUAAAGACUGGUGGUGAACCAGACACCCAGCACCCAGGAGGCUGAGGUAGCCUGGGCUACAGAAGACCCUGCUUUAAAAAUACAACAAAAAAUACCCCCAUCCCCCCGC
This 797-nucleotide long non-coding RNA is filed under the name Rattus norvegicus (Norway rat). RNAcentral describes it as "long non-coding RNA NONRATT025527". Lineage: Eukaryota; Metazoa; Chordata; Mammalia; Rodentia; Muridae. The record is from RNAcentral.